Molecule: long non-coding RNA, 655 nt
Organism: Erigeron canadensis
Lineage: Eukaryota; Viridiplantae; Streptophyta; Magnoliopsida; Asterales; Asteraceae
Exons: 2
Source: RefSeq, a predicted model, not a curated record
UUUUAUUUUUUUUUAAAUAAAAAAUCAGCUAACAAAAGAUGAAAUUAAACAAUCAACGGCCCAGCCCGUUCCAGCCCAUGGGUGUGAAGGCUGCUGCUGUUGUCGGCCGUCAUGUAUAACAAACCAACCAACAGGGGAAAUUAAUCUUUUAUCAUUGAUGAGCAAAACGGGUAAUAUGUUCGAGAGAGUAGUUUCAACUUUCAAAUACACAAGAGGAACGAAAAGUCCUAGACCGUCUAUAAUCUAGAUGAAUUGUGAAGCUCAGGUUGUGGUCUGUUUUUGGAUUCUUGAAUGCAGCUGGAGCUUUAAGGAUCUGCAUACAAAGCUCCUCAAGAAGAAAUCUUUAUGGUGACCCAAGUAUGUUUACAUCUAAAAAAAUAUCAUAUUUGCAACUAUUGCAACAUAAAACAUGUGUGCUUGUGUUUACCUUUUAAAAAAAUAGAGUGCUUAUACGUGACUUACCACCUUCAAGCAACACAUUGUGUUUUGAUAAAGGAUAGAUGACUGUAUUUAUAUGGAUAGUACAUUGUCUUUAUGGCUAGAACUCUGCUACUGUGUAGCACUACCUAUUUAGAACAUGUUGUAGAAGGAUGUGUGAAUUGAUUAUGAAAAGUGAUGGAAGUCUAUUAUGAAUAUUGUGUGCCUGUUAUCUAUA